This 266-nucleotide signal recognition particle RNA is filed under the name Bacillota bacterium. RNAcentral describes it as "Firmicutes bacterium (anaerobic digester metagenome) signal recognition particle sRNA large type". It matches the Rfam family "Bacterial large signal recognition particle RNA". From Rfam's summary of the family: The signal recognition particle (SRP) is a universally conserved ribonucleoprotein involved in the co-translational targeting of proteins to membranes. Archaeal SRP consists of a 7S RNA and homologues of the eukaryotic SRP19 and SRP54 proteins. The record is from RNAcentral. Lineage: Bacteria; Bacillati; Bacillota.
CCGUGCUAGAUGGGGAGGUGGCGGUGCCCUGUAACCCGCAAUCCGCCAUAGCGGGGUUGAAUCCCCACUUACGGCACAAUGCUUUUGGGGUCUGACUGUUGCAAGUGGUGUUGAGAGUUGGGUCCCGCGCAACGGAAACUUAUGAACCCCGUCAGGCCCGGAAGGGAGCAGCGGUAAGUAAGCACUUUCGUGUGCCGUGGGUGAACCUGAUUGGAGCUAACUACAACAGUAACGCCCAGGAGGUUGUGACAAAGGUGGGUGCACGG